RNAcentral lists this transfer RNA (75 nucleotides) under Nanobdellota archaeon. Its description in RNAcentral is "tRNA-Asp". It matches the Rfam family "tRNA". From Rfam's summary of the family: Transfer RNA (tRNA) molecules are approximately 80 nucleotides in length. Their secondary structure includes four short double-helical elements and three loops (D, anti-codon, and T loops). The record is from RNAcentral. Lineage: Archaea; Nanobdellati; Nanobdellota.
GCCCAAGUAGUGUAGUCCGGCCUAUCAUGUAGCACUGUCGAUGCUACGACCCGGGUUCGAAUCCCGGCUUGGGCG